CUGGGUAUGGGGUUUGGAAGGAAGAUGGGAAGCUGGUCCUCAUCCACCCCCACCCCAGAGCCCCCAGGCUCACAGCUAGGGGUGGGAGGUGAAGAGAGUUCAUACCACUUGUAGGUUGACUGCAUACCCUCUAGGAGCUCAGAGAACAAGAGGCCAAUGCUUUCUGGAAGGAAGGCUUCAUGGAAGAAGUGGACUUUGGGCUCCCUUGUAAGGAAAGUAGAUUUAUAUGGGCUGAGACAAGAUUGAAAAACAUCCCAAGUGGAGGGGAUCUGGGAAACUGGAGGUGGAUUGGGAGCUUUAUCACGCUCUAUGAUAAAGCAAGCUGUCGUGUUGGAAAGACCUCAUGACAAGGAGCUGAGAGCGGUCUCUGUUCCACAGCCAGCAAGGAAGUGAGGCCCUCUGUCCAACAGCACACAAAGAAUUGAAUCCUGCCAACAAUCCCGUUCCAGGUGUCAUCAGGAUGCCGGCCAGACUUCCCUGGAUUGAAGACCCCACCAAUGUGUCCUGGAGCUCAGCUUCCCCAGAGACCCACCCUACUAGGGAAAGAGAGAGGCAGACUGGGAGUAUGGACCGAACAGUCAACGCCCAUGUUCAGCGGGGAAGCAAUUACAGAAGCCAGACCUUCUACCUUCUGCAACCCACAAUGACCCUGGGUCCAUGCUCCCAGAGGGAUAGAGAAUGGGAAAGCUAUCGGGGGAGGGGGUGGGAUAUGGAGAUUGGGCGGUGGGAAUUGUGUGGGGUUGUACCCCUCCUACCCUAUGGUUUUGUUAAUUAAUCCUUUCUUAAAUAAAAAAGAAAAAAAAAAGAUAAUAAAGAGAGAGAGAGAGAGAGAGAGAGACGGAGAGAGAGGUAGCCUUCCCUACUCUGGGAACCCUUCAAGCUUAGCAAACUCACUGUUUUCAGCAAGCUACUCUCUCAAAAUGGCCUGAAGUGGAUGGAAAUCC
Erinaceus europaeus (western European hedgehog) is the source of this 944-nucleotide long non-coding RNA. RefSeq lists it as uncharacterized. Lineage: Eukaryota; Metazoa; Chordata; Mammalia; Eulipotyphla; Erinaceidae. The transcript has 3 exons. The record is from RefSeq and is a predicted model, not a curated record.